UUUGUCUCUUUUGCUUACUCUCGAAAUGUAACAAGACUAUCCUGCUGUCAAAAGUGUCAAAUUCUUCGCAACUUUAGAUCCAUUUUGCGGGUGUUGUGCAGUAAUUACAUAAUUUUUCAAAUCAGGAUGGCCGGAGACUCUUCUGUCGAUGAAUCCCAGCUCAAAGGCUUAGCAAAAUACUUCAACAGUCAGACAAACAGAGGAAGAUUAAAUACGGCCAGAGCCACAUAUGCAGUAAUGGG
Molecule: long non-coding RNA, 242 nt
Organism: Bombyx mandarina (wild silkworm)
Lineage: Eukaryota; Metazoa; Arthropoda; Insecta; Lepidoptera; Bombycidae
Source: RefSeq, a predicted model, not a curated record